This 2880-nucleotide ribosomal RNA is filed under the name Stenotrophomonas maltophilia. Its description in RNAcentral is "23S ribosomal RNA". It matches the Rfam family "Bacterial large subunit ribosomal RNA". The record is from RNAcentral. Lineage: Bacteria; Pseudomonadati; Pseudomonadota; Gammaproteobacteria; Lysobacterales; Lysobacteraceae.
GGUCAAGCGAAUAAGCGCACACGGUGGAUGCCUUGGCGGUCAGAGGCGAUGAAGGACGUGGCAGCCUGCGAAAAGUAUCGGGGAGCUGGCAACAAGCUUUGAUCCGGUAAUGUCCGAAUGGGGAAACCCACCCGCUUGCGGGUAUCCUGCAGUGAAUACAUAGCUGCUGGAAGCGAACCUGGUGAACUGAAAUAUCUAAGUAACCAGAGGAAAAGAAAUCAACCGAGAUUCCGUAAGUAGCGACGAGCGAACGCGGACUAGCCCUUAAGCUGGAUUGGUUCUAGGAAAACGCUCUGGAAAGAGCGGCCAUAGAAGGUGAUAGCCCUGUAUCUGAAAGGGCCAUUCCAGUGAAGACGAGUAGGGCGGGGCACGUGAAACCCUGUCUGAACAUGGGGGGACCAUCCUCCAAGGCUAAAUACUACUGACCGACCGAUAGUGAACCAGUACCGUGAGGGAAAGGCGAAAAGAACCCCGGAGAGGGGAGUGAAAUAGAACCUGAAACCGUGUGCGUACAAGCAGUAGGAGCUCCGCAAGGAGUGACUGCGUACCUUUUGUAUAAUGGGUCAGCGACUUACUGUUCGUGGCAAGCUUAACCGUAUAGGGGAGGCGAAGGGAAACCGAGUCUGAUAAGGGCGCAUAGUCGCGGGCAGUAGACCCGAAACCGGGUGAUCUAGUCAUGCCCAGGGUGAAGGUGCGGUAACACGCACUGGAGGCCCGAACCCACUCCCGUUGCAAAGGUAGGGGAUGAGGUGUGAUUAGGAGUGAAAAGCUAAUCGAACCCGGAGAUAGCUGGUUCUCCUCGAAAGCUAUUUAGGUAGCGCCUCAUAUGUAUCCUCUCGGGGGUAGAGCACUGUUAUGGCUAGGGGGUCAUCGCGACUUACCAAACCAUUGCAAACUCCGAAUACCGAGACGGACUGUAUGGGAGACACACGGCGGGUGCUAACGUCCGUCGUGAAAAGGGAAACAACCCAGACCCACAGCUAAGGUCCCAAAUUCACUGCUAAGUGGAAAACCAUGUGGAAAGGCACAGACAGCCAGGAGGUUGGCUUAGAAGCAGCCACCCUUUAAAGAAAGCGUAAUAGCUCACUGGUCGAGUCGGUCUGCGGGGAAGAUUUAACGGGGCUAAGCAGUGAACCGAAGCUUGGGGUGCAUAACUUUGUUAUGCGCGGUAGAGGAGCGUUCCGUAAGCCGUUGAAGGUGGAUUGAGAAGUCUGCUGGAGGUAUCGGAAGUGCGAAUGCUGACAUGAGUAACGAUAAUGCGGGUGAAAAACCCGCACGCCGAAAGCCCAAGGUUUCCUUGCGCAACGUUAAUCGGCGCAGGGUGAGUCGGCCCCUAAGGCGAGGACGAAAGUCGUAGUCGAUGGGAAGCAGGUUAAUAUUCCUGCACCUCGCGUAAGUGCGAUGGAGGGACGGAGAAGGUUAGGUGUACCAGGCGUUGGUUGUCCUGGGGAAAGGCGGUAGGUUUGGAUCUUUGGCAAAUCCGGGAUCCUUUAAGACCGAGCACCGAGACGAGCCUUUAAGGCGAAGUCACUGAUACCACGCUUCCAGGAAAAGCUCCUAAGCUUCAGCUUACGCAGACCGUACCGUAAACCGACACAGGUGGGUAGGAUGAGAAUUCUCAGGCGCUUGAGAGAACUCGGGUGAAGGAACUAGGCAACAUGGCACCGUAACUUCGGGAGAAGGUGCACCCUUUUUGGUGGCUCGUGCGAGCUAUAGCUGAAGAGGGUCGCAGUAACCAGGCCGCUGCGACUGUUUAUCAAAAACACAGCACUCUGCAAACACGAAAGUGGACGUAUAGGGUGUGACGCCUGCCCGGUGCUGGAAGGUUAAUUGAUGGGGUCAGCCGCAAGGCGAAGCUCUUGAUCGAAGCCCCAGUAAACGGCGGCCGUAACUAUAACGGUCCUAAGGUAGCGAAAUUCCUUGUCGGGUAAGUUCCGACCUGCACGAAUGGCGUAACGACAGCGGCGCUGUCUCCACCCGAGACUCAGUGAAAUUGAAAUCGCUGUGAAGAUGCAGCGUUCCCGUGGCAAGACGGAAAGACCCCGUGAACCUUUACUAUAGCUUUACACUGAACGUUGAGUUCGUCUGUGUAGGAUAGGUGGGAGGCUAUGAAACUGUGGCGCUAGCUGCAGCGGAGCCAUCCUUGAAAUACCACCCUGUCGUGCUUGACGUUCUAACCUGGGCCCAUUAUCUGGGUCGGGGACCGUGUAUGGUGGGUAGUUUGACUGGGGCGGUCUCCUCCUAAAGAGUAACGGAGGAGCUCGAAGGUACGCUCAGCGCGGUCGGACAUCGCGCACUGUGUGCAAAGGCAUAAGCGUGCUUGACUGCAAGAUCGACGGAUCAAGCAGGUAGGAAACUAGGACUUAGUGAUCCGGUGGUUCUGUAUGGAAGGGCCAUCGCUCAACGGAUAAAAGGUACUCCGGGGAUAACAGGCUGAUACCGCCCAAGAGUUCAUAUCGACGGCGGUGUUUGGCACCUCGAUGUCGGCUCAUCACAUCCUGGGGCUGUAGUCGGUCCCAAGGGUAUGGCUGUUCGCCAUUUAAAGUGGUACGCGAGCUGGGUUCAGAACGUCGUGAGACAGUUCGGUCCCUAUCUGCCAUGGGCGUUGGAGAUUUGAGAGGGGCUGCUCCUAGUACGAGAGGACCGGAGUGGACGAACCUCUGGUGUUCCGGUUGUCACGCCAGUGGCAUUGCCGGGUAGCUAUGUUCGGAAGCGAUAACCGCUGAAAGCAUCUAAGCGGGAAGCGCGCCUCAAGAUGAGAUCUCCCGGGGCACAAGCCCCCUGAAGGAACCAUGUAGACUACGUGGUUGAUAGGUCAGGUGUGUAAGUACAGCAAUGUAUUGAGCUAACUGAUACUAAUGAUCCGAGAGGCUUGACCAU